CAUGGGGGUGGCUUCCACCAUACUGUUCUCAUGGUAGAGAAUAAGUCUCACGAGAUCUGAUGGUUUUAUCAGGGGUUUCCACUUCUGCGUCUUCCUCAUUCUCUGUUUGCCUGCUGCCAUCCAUGUAAGACGGGACUCCUUCCUCCUUGCCUUUCGCCAUGAUUGUGAGGCUCCCCAAGCCACGUGGAACUGGCUGGAGUGACUGUCAACAAGCUAACCAGUGAGACAGGCGCGAGCCCACACUCAGGGACUUGGGCUUCCCUGGAAGCCUCAUCCACUCCCCAUCUCACCCAAGCUUUCCUGCAAGCCUGGAACGCCUCAUUUCACCAGACCUCUUCCUCCUGAAUACCCCACGCGUCCUUAAGCGCAUACACCAACUUUCACGCGAAGCAGAAUCACGUGGCAUUCGGAACUUCGUGUACGUGUGAAAUGUAAAAGUCCUGAACUGCACCAAAUAUCAGCUUUCACACACGCAGCAACCAUUUCUCUGCAGCCCAUCACCCAAGGACCAAAUCUCACACUCAACUUGACAGGUGUGGAAACAGCUCAUGACUGGGUCGUACCUGGCUCCCGGGGACAGGACAGCAGUGGCUGCCAGGCUGCUGGUGGGCAGUUCAGGGCCAGCAGAUCCCACCCCACCUCCCCUCCAAGCCCCCACGGGGAUGUGGCCCCCUGGCCUUUAUUCCUUCAUUGCUUGAAAGCUGGUUGGCAGUUUGUUCUCAGCCUGGCUUUGAGUCUGGGGACCCCAGGACAGGACUGGUCCCUGCUUUCCUGGAGCAAAUGUGGCUCGGAAACAGCCGUAAAGAUGCCCAGCACCAGGCAGGGACCCGUGGAGGGCCCACAGGGGUGUGAGGGAGCCCUGCUCUAUCAGCCAUGUCACUGGACAGGUUGCCUCAGCUCUUGAGACCUCAGGAUGAAACAUGGCAUGUUCUAGAAGCAUUUGUGACCAGGAGAGCUAGAGACUUUCCUAAGGGUCUCAACCAAGCCCUGUGGGGCUCCUUGGCGCCCCAGCCCUCAGAGGGUCCCGCUGGUGGACGAGGGGCUAAGGAGACCUUGGCCAGACUGGCACUGGGAGAGCAAAUUCUCCCCUUUCUCCCACCCCAUGAGCAUGACCCCGAAUGGUUCUCUGUCCAUUCCGGACCUCAUCCUCUCCGUCGUAAAUGAACAGACUGGAUCAGACCACAGAAGUUUCCCGUAGCUCUGGCCUGCGUUCUGUAACUCUAGACAAGCUAGGCCAUCAUGGCUCCUCCCCCAGGACAGAUGAUGAGCAGAAACAGAGGGUGUCUUUCUGUAGAUCACACAACAGAGGGAUACCUGAGUGGAGGACAGACAGAGGUUUCUGAGCCACCGCCUAAGGCUCCUACUGGCAGCAAACCAAGAGGUGUGGCAAGUGCAGGGCGGUGCAUGAGUGUUUGCAGGUGCAGGGCGGUGCAUGAGAGAGUGUUUGCAGGUGCAGGGCGGUGCAUAAGACAGUGUGCGUAGGUGCAGGGUGGUGCAUGUGUGCUUGAACAUAGGCAUGAGACAGUGUGUGCAUGUGUGUGAGUGUGUGUUUGGGGGAGUGGGCUGAGCCCACUCAAACCUCUCCCCAACCCCCAGCACUUUGUCCAAACAGUUCCAGGCAGCCUGGAUAGGCUGGGGUAUGGAUCUCUUUUUCUGGCCUCUUGACCUCCCCUGGAGGCUGGGAGGCCUCCCCUUCUCCUCAACCCCAUGUAUUUUUAGGCCAUCUCCCUGCAGGCAAGAUCCCCGGAGACCAUGGUGCAGGCAAGUGUCUACAGCUGUCGCCUGGAAGCCUCCUUUCAGGCCAGCAGCAGUGGGGGCAGGGUGUGCAGAAUGAAGUGGCCAGUGGUGCCUCUAGACUUCAGUUCUCUUAGUGGAAAAAUGGGGAGGAUAAAAUCAGUUUGGUGGGAGGUGACGUGAGCUGAUGCAUGGAGGGUGCUUGGCACGGAUCCUGGCAUUCAGCAGAAGCUUGACAAAUGUCAGCGUGGCCCCACGUCCCAGGUACAUGUGCCCCCAUGUCUGCCAUAGGUGCUACAGUUCACAAAGUGUGCUUGCAGACUUCCUUCUGUCUCAUCCUCACAACUGCCCCGGGGGCAAAGACAGCCCUUGUUAGCCUCCUUCCUCCCUGUGCUCCACAGCCUGCUUGGUUCCAGGAAUCAGGAGAGGAAUGUGGCUCCUCCAGCCCUUAGUUUGUCAAUCCCGGCAGGGAGGUGACUGGAGUGGGAGAGGUCUGGGGGACCCUCUGCAAGGCUGGCCUAUCGAUCUUCCUGGGCACAGUGAUGCAGAGCCCAGGGUGGGGUUGGGUAGAAGGGGCUGGAUUAACGAAGUGACAGAGAGCUUGAAGAGCAUGAAACACCCAGCUGGCAGCACAGCACAGGCACUCAGUAAAUAGUCGUCAUCAUCAUCACCACCUUCAUCAUCAUCAUCAUCACCAUCAUCAUCAUCAUCAUCACCAUCAUCACCAUCACCAUCAUCAUCAUCAUCACCAUCAUCAUCAUCACCAUCAUCAUCAUCAUCACCAUCAUGAUCAUCAUCAUCAUCAUCAUCAUCAUCAUCAUCAUCAUCAUCAUC
RNAcentral lists this long non-coding RNA (2568 nucleotides) under Homo sapiens (human). RNAcentral's name for it is "HSALNT0246012". The record is from RNAcentral. Lineage: Eukaryota; Metazoa; Chordata; Mammalia; Primates; Hominidae.